Molecule: ribosomal RNA, 253 nt
Filed under: uncultured bacterium
Lineage: Bacteria
Description: partial 16S ribosomal RNA
Rfam family: Bacterial small subunit ribosomal RNA
Source: RNAcentral
UACAGAGGGUGCGAGCGUUAAUCGGAAUUACUGGGCGUAAAGCGUGCGUAGCCGGUUAUCUAAGUCGGAUGUGAAAGCCCCGGGCUCAACCUGGGAAUUGCAUUCGAGACUGAAUAGCUAGGGUGCGGUAGAGGGAAGCGGAAUUUCCGGUGUAGCGGUGAAAUGCGUAGAUAUCGGAAGGAACAUCAGUGGCGAAAGCGGCUUCCUGGACCAGCACCGACGUUCAGGCACGAAAGCGUGGGGAGCAAACAGG